This 113-nucleotide non-coding RNA is filed under the name Carlito syrichta (Philippine tarsier). The record is from RNAcentral. Lineage: Eukaryota; Metazoa; Chordata; Mammalia; Primates; Tarsiidae.
GUCUGGUUGGGAGGUAGUAAAUUAUCUCGAUUAUUCACAAUCAGUUACAGAUCGAACUUCUUGUUUCUCCUUCCUUUCUCCUUCCUUCUCACUAUUGCACUUGACUAGAAAAA